AGAUGAUUUGUUCACCCUCCCUUUGUAAAAGUUAGCGCACGGCUCAGCAAUGAGCCAUUCCCCUAGGCCCGGAGCUUUUUAAGUUCUGGGCAUUUUUUA
This 99-nucleotide small RNA is filed under the name Marisediminitalea lipolytica. The record is from RNAcentral. Lineage: Bacteria; Pseudomonadati; Pseudomonadota; Gammaproteobacteria; Alteromonadales; Alteromonadaceae.